UGUGUGUGUGUGUCUGUGUGUUUCUUAUAUAAACUAAGGAAAUUUGUGUUUGGUAGAUCAUUUCUCUGUGGUAACAAUGCUUUUUGGCAAUAAAUCGCACACUGUUG
This is a long non-coding RNA of Etheostoma cragini (Arkansas darter), 107 nucleotides long. RefSeq lists it as uncharacterized. The record is from RefSeq and is a predicted model, not a curated record. NCBI's taxonomy places the organism in Eukaryota, Metazoa, Chordata, Actinopteri, Perciformes, Percidae. The transcript has 3 exons.